RNAcentral lists this ribosomal RNA (1110 nucleotides) under Immundisolibacterales bacterium. Its description in RNAcentral is "partial 23S ribosomal RNA". It matches the Rfam family "Bacterial large subunit ribosomal RNA", at positions 1822 to 2925 of the family's 2925-position model. Lineage: Bacteria; Pseudomonadati; Pseudomonadota; Gammaproteobacteria; Immundisolibacterales. The record is from RNAcentral.
UCCGAGCUCUCGCAAGAGGAGGUAUAGGGUGUGACGCCUGCCCAGUGCCGGAAGGUUAAGUGAUGGGGUUAGCCCUAGGCGAAGCUCUUGACCGAAGCCCCGGUAAACGGCGGCCGUAACUAUAACGGUCCUAAGGUAGCGAAAUUCCUUGUCGGGUAAGUUCCGACCUGCACGAAUGGCGUAACGAUGGCCACGCUGUCUCCACCAGGGACUCAGUGAAAUUGAAAUCGCUGUGAAGAUGCAGUGUUCCCGCGGCUAGACGGAAAGACCCCGUGAACCUUUACUACAGCUUCGUACUGAAAUUUGGGCAUGCUUGUGUAGGAUAGGUGGGAGGCUUUGAAGCGGAGACGCCAGUUUCCGUGGAGCCGACCUUGAAAUACCACCCUGGUAUGGCUGAAUUUCUAACCCAGACCCGUUAUCCGGGUCGGGGACAGUGCGUGGUGGGUAGUUUGACUGGGGAGGUCUCCUCCCAAAGAGUAACGGAGGAGUGCGAAGGUACCCUCGGCGCGGUCGGAAAUCGCGCUUUGAGUGCAAAGGCAUAAGGGUGCCUGACUGCGAGACGGACAGGUCGAGCAGGGGCGAAAGCCGGUCUUAGUGAUCCGGUGGUUCUGUAUGGAAGGGCCAUCGCUCAACGGAUAAAAGGUACUCCGGGGAUAACAGGCUGAUACCGCCCAAGAGUUCGUAUCGACGGCGGUGUUUGGCACCUCGAUGUCGGCUCAUCACAUCCUGGGGCUGUAGUCGGUCCCAAGGGUAUGGCUGUUCGCCAUUUAAAGUGGUACGCGAGCUGGGUUUAGAACGUCGUGAGACAGUUCGGUCCCUAUCUGCCGUGGGCGCUGGAGACUUGAGGGGAGCUGCUCUUAGUACGAGAGGACCGGAGUGGACGUACCUCUGGUGUACCGGUUGUCACGCCAGUGGCACUGCCGGGUAGCUAUGUACGGACGGGAUAACCGCUGAAAGCAUCUAAGCGGGAAGCCCCCCCCGAGAUGAGGUCUCCCAGGAUCCUUGAGAUCCCUGAAGGUCCGUUGAAGACCACGACGUUGAUAGGCUGGGUGUGGAAGCGCAGUAAUGUGUGAAGCUGACCAGUACUAAUUGACCGUGAGGCUUGACCAU